UGCACUUUUUCUAAAAGUCAGUUCCAAGUAUCUGUUAGAUCCUGUAGGAUGGAGAAUGAUGGGACAGGGGAGUGACCUACACUUGGUGAAGCAUACUGUUGGCAGGAGCCUGAGCUCAGAGCAGUCCUGCAUGUGAGUGUCAUUGUACAGUUGAAAAGAUGGAGGCCCAUAGAGGUGGGGACACCUGUUUCCAGCAACACAGCAGAUAUACUGAGCCCAGGUCAGUCUGAGGCUUACCCUCAGACUGAUGCUUUUCACUUUGAGAAACAGUUGGGACACAGUGCAGAGAGCACUGAGUCAAGAGUCCUCCGCCCCAGCUCACCAGCUCCAUUCAGAGCAGCAGACAAGUCCCUCAGUGUCCUCCGAGCCUCAGCCUCCUCCCUCCGCAACGGAGAUCAUGAGUCUCCCCAUGCAGGCUUGGGGCAAGGCGUAAGUGAGAUGACACAGGCAGUGCACGUUAGUGAUUGCAGAGCCAUAUAUGUGUAAGAAUUAUUUCACCCUUUUAAUUCUUCACAGGAGUAGAGACAGCCUGUUCUGCGUUGAAAGCCCUUAGGAUGAAAAAUAAUUGAACAGAGAGUGGAAAUAGUAUGGAAAUGGCAUGGCCCUACAGUUAGAGGCAUAGUUAGCAAUAAAAUGUUGGGCUAGACCUCAGCAAAUGUGUCUGAAGGCACAUAACAUCCUAGCAGCAUUGACCUAAUGAGGUCAGGAGACGAAGGAAGUGCUCAGUGGGGAAGAUGUUAUUUUGAUGGAAUGCUUCUGGGGUGCCAGCCUGCCCCAGGAAGGGCCAGCCUGGUGGAGCUGUGGAUUGCCUCACUGCAGCCAGGGCUAUUCUUUAAAAGAGGCACUUUGCAGCUCAUCUUGCAGGGCUCCUCAUUCUGUCACGUGAUGGCAGGAUGGGGCCAUUUUUGGCACUCCCUUUUGAGAGGCUCAGUUCCUAGGGACCAGUUGGCCUGGCUGCCUCUGCCCUCAUUUUCCUUUGCCUAGUUCUAUUUCAUUGAACAUUCUGUAUUUCUAGAAGUGACCUUAAAUCCUUUGUGUAAAGAGGGUGGAGUAUGCAUAUUUUGUUACUUAAUACUAUUUAAUUAAUUUAAUCUUUAAAAACAGUAGCAGUUGACUUGUCAUUACAAGCAGGUACUUAGAGUAAGAGUAAGCAGGAACGCCAGUGAAGGGGACCCUUUCUGGGCUGCUGAUUCCCCCAGGACUGUGGGAUCUGGGUCACCAGCAAUGCCUGCUGUCUUCCCAGGUGCUACUUCAGCUUUAAAAAUUAGUAAUGUUGUGACCUCUUAAAAGGUAGUGUGUCCUGGAGUGUGCCCAUUAUUCUAGUCUAGUGAAACAGAGUGCUGGGGCCAGCAGGCAGUGUGCAGUGAGCUGAACUAAGCAGGAGCUGUUUGUCCGCAGGUUCGUUGCCCCAGGUUUCCCACCCACGAUGACAUACCCUGUGACCCUCAAAGCCUUUGUAGUAGAAGCUGCCUCUUUCUGAAUGUCAUGUGCUUUAUGAGAAAGGUGUUAUUUUAACCCUCAUAGUAUUACGUUUAGCCAGUAUUAAGGUUAUUAGGUAUUUAUAUGUCGUAUUUAGUAAAUGCUUUUUUUAAAUUCAUAAAUAUGAAUUAAAUAUGCUUUUCUACAUCCAAGGAAGAGAAAACAUUCACUUCGAUCAGCACUUAUUGCACAGAUUUUAGUUUUAUGCUUCUAUCAUGUGCCAGGCUCCAGACGGUACCACACGAGCAGACACCUACAUGAAGUGAAGGGGCCAGCUCUGUGAUGAUCUGGGGACAGAGUGUUCCUGAUAGAGUAAACAGCAAGUGCAGGGAGCCUGAGGCUGGAAGAGCUGGGCGGGUGUGAGCCGCAAUAAGACCAGGGUAUGGCUGGGCUGGAGCAGUGAGGGAGGGAACAGGCCUGGUGCCCAGGACACAGCAGCCCUCAGAGAAUGGUAGCUGGCACAGGUGGCAGCAGUGGUGGCAGCAUUAGAGAAAGAAGAGGAAGAAAUGGAAGAAGAGCAAGACGCAGAGAUGCAAGUAGUUUGGGUGCCAUAUUUGGGGGCAUAAGUCAGAAGAGGGGCAGCCUGACACAGCCUGGGGCACAGGUGGCAGAUCAGGGAAGGCCAUGCAGAGAAAGGGACCCAAAGGGUGUGUAGGAGCAAGUCGGGCAGCAGCUGGUGCCAAACGGCCCCUCGGGCGGUGAAACCAGCCUACGCAGUGUGAGGUGGCGGACAGCUUGGCACGUUGGGGCCCUCAAAGUUAGUUCACAGGCUGGAGCACAGAGUGGAAAACUGGGUGGGAACUAGGUGAUCUGAGGCGUCGAAUACCCAGCCAGGGAGUGUGGACUCCAGGCAUGAAGGCAGCGAGAGAGCCAGGGAGUGAAAGGGAUGUAAAGAUGAAGGUCUCUGACAGCUGUUGUGUGGACAAUGGAUUGGAAGCCGGUGGCAGCUAGUGGUGGUAUUAUUAGGAUAGUGAUCCAGAGGAGGGACUUCACUUGGAAUCAGAAUCCACGUCCUUAUAAUGCCCCACAAGACCUGAGUGCCCUUCCUCCAACCCUUACCUGCCUCACUCACCUUCUGCCUCCUCAUGUUCACUCACUCUGCUUCAGCCACGAUGCUCCUAGCUCUUCCUUCCAUGCUCGGGCACUGUGCUGCCUCAGGGCCUUUGCACGACUGGUUUCUGUCUCUGGAAGCUUGUUCCCACAGAUAGCUUUAUGGCCAGUCCUCUUACCUCCUUUAAGUCUUUGCUCAAAUGUCACUUUCUUAAUAAGACCUACUCAGAACAUUCCAGUUAAAAUGACCAGGUGUUCCUCCUUCCACCUUGGUCUCCCACAGCCCCCUCAGCCUAAUCUUCUCUUUGCCAUAGCAUCUGUUACUUUCUAACCCAGAAACACACACACACACACACACACACACACACACAUACACACACACAUUUAUAGUGUUCAUUGUGUACUGCCUGCUUCCCCAGGCUAGAAUAUAACCUCCCUGAGGGCAGAGACUUUUGUUUUUAUUGACUGCUGCUGCAUCCCAAGUGCCUAGGACAGUGACUGGCAUAUAGUGGUGAGGUAUGAUUAAAUGUUUGUUGAAUGACUAAAUGAGAACGGCUGGAAUUCAGAAAGUGGCAGCAGAGAUGGAGAGAGUGGGUAGGUCUUGGAGACGGUUACAAGGUGGGAUCAACAGGACUUGGUGGUCUGUUGGUCAGGGGUAAAAAAGACAGGCAGGAUGGGGCCCAGGUUUCUCACUGGUGUCUGGCUAGUGGUGGUGCCCCUGCCUAGAAUA
Molecule: long non-coding RNA, 3259 nt
Organism: Sapajus apella (tufted capuchin)
Lineage: Eukaryota; Metazoa; Chordata; Mammalia; Primates; Cebidae
Exons: 2
Source: RefSeq, a predicted model, not a curated record